This 253-nucleotide ribosomal RNA is filed under the name uncultured bacterium. Its description in RNAcentral is "partial 16S ribosomal RNA". It matches the Rfam family "Bacterial small subunit ribosomal RNA", at positions 524 to 776 of the family's 1533-position model. The record is from RNAcentral.
UACGGAGGGUGCGAGCGUUGUCCGGAAUCACUGGGCGUAAAGGGCGCGUAGGCGGCCUGAUAAGUAGGGGGUGAAAUCCUGCGGCUUAACCGCAGGGCUGCCUUCUAAACUGUCAGGCUGGAGCACAGUAGAGGCAGGUGGAAUUCCCGGUGUAGCGGUGGAAUGCGUAGAGAUCGGGAAGAACAUCAGUGGCGAAGGCGGCCUGCUGGGCUGAACCUGACGCUGAGAUGCGAAAGUGUGGGGAGCAAACGGG